ACUCAGAGGAUUCGAUCAGAGCCGAUCCUGACCCAAGGCGACCCGCCUAGGGCCUCAAAAUUUAUGAGGCCUCAGCCCAUGGAUGAUGGGCCACCAGAAAAAAAAUAAAUAAAUAAAAUAAUGAUAAAUAAAUAAAUUUAGGGCAAAUCAUUUCAGCCUCCCCAAUCGCCUCCGUCUCUAUUCUCGUUCUCAACUCUGAACUUGACCUCUCUCUGUCUCUGCAACUGCAAACUACAAAGUCUACAAGAAUCAGAAGUUCAAAACCCAUAUACUUAAGUUUAUCUAUCUGUCUGCAAGAAUCAAAAUUUCAAAACCUAUUACCUAUAUCAAAACCCAUAUCGGCAUAUCAUUUCAGAUUGUUAAAAAAAUCAAAACCCAUAUCCUUCAGUUUCCAUCGCCCGCUGUUCCAGUACAGGUUCGCCGUUCGCAAGCUUCAGCCGCUGGCCGGCUGUCUCUCAACUCUCGAGCUUGCCCCCCGUCUCUCUGCAACUGCUAACUUGUUGAUUUGAAAGACUAAUUGGUAAAUUUGGGUUGAACUUGUGUCUUGAACAAGUUGAAGGCCCUUAUGGUGAAUUAAAAUUUUUACAAUUACAGCAUCCUAAGGUUCUACCAUCUUUUAGAGUGCUUUCAUCACUUCAAAUUGACUUUUGUGCUUUGAGCAACUUGGAGGAGCUUGAUUUGAGUGUUAGUGUAAAGGGGCUGAUUACAGUAAAAGGUAUUAUAGUGUCAUAUUCAUUGCAUUGCAUUUUUGAGUUUAUUUCAGCAAAACAAAUAUAUAUAUUUUUUAAUUCUAUAACUUCUAUUUCUUUCUCAUAAUCUUUUUCUCUGAUUUCGGUAUGUUUUUUUCUCCUUUCUUUUUAAUUUUAGUGUGCUGAUAAAUAAUGCAUCACACAUUUCGAAAUUUAAUCCUUUUUUAUUUUCUCUCGAAGUCGGGUAAUGAAAUACCUUAGAAAAAUCAUUUUUAAUAUGCAACUUUUUUUAAAAAAAUUUCUUUAUCCAUAAUAUAAAACUAAAGAACCAAAAUAAGAACUCAAUUAGUAAGAUUGACCUUAUUAUAUCCUAUUUUUUUCCUUAUCACUCCGAAAAGGCUUGAAAGGAUAUGAGAUAAAGGAAACUUUUGUUCAUUACAUUCUAUUUGAAUUUUUAAAUAAAUAAAAUAUGAAAAUUUUAAUAAAUUGUUCCCACUGGAAUGUUUUUUUCUUUUCAACGCAAAAAUAAGAACUCAGUUUUACUUUACAAUUAUUUUUUUUUCAAAAUAUUAUGUAUUGCAAUUCAUUUGAUGUGUAUUUUUAUCACUGCAUUUAUUAAAAACUAGAAAACAGUGACACUUCUCUGGAUUGUGUC
This is a long non-coding RNA of Cornus florida, 1344 nucleotides long. RefSeq lists it as uncharacterized. The transcript has 3 exons. NCBI's taxonomy places the organism in Eukaryota, Viridiplantae, Streptophyta, Magnoliopsida, Cornales, Cornaceae. The record is from RefSeq and is a predicted model, not a curated record.